AAGCUUCGGCGAAAAAGAAUUGUCCGAAAGAAGUAGGGUGGAUGAGGAAAAACCUAACUAUUCUUUCAACAAACGCUGAGUUUGAUGGUUUUGAUACCAUGCUGGGACAGUUUUGCUUCAGUUCCGCCAUGACAUGUGUUUCCUAUGGAAGUAGGAUGGAUGAGGGAAAAGAAAAUUGUAACUGGUGUUUCAGUUGCCUAUCAAAGUAGGAUGGAUGAGGAAAAACAAUUGUAGCUGGUGUUUCAGUUGCAAUUUGGGGCCAAGAUCAAAGGCUUGCUAUUUUUUUACUCAGAGGCGAUUCAUCCGGUUCGCUGAAGGUCCCCACCAUUCUCCUAUGUUGGUUUGAGCAGAAGUACGCCUCUGAAGUUCUAAC
This 373-nucleotide long non-coding RNA is filed under the name Hordeum vulgare. RNAcentral describes it as "long non-coding RNA (HVUL_LNC019717)". Lineage: Eukaryota; Viridiplantae; Streptophyta; Magnoliopsida; Poales; Poaceae. The record is from RNAcentral.